RNAcentral lists this ribosomal RNA (393 nucleotides) under uncultured bacterium. RNAcentral describes it as "partial 16S ribosomal RNA". It matches the Rfam family "Bacterial small subunit ribosomal RNA", at positions 523 to 918 of the family's 1533-position model. The record is from RNAcentral.
AUACGGAAGGUCCGGGCGUUAUCCGGAUUUAUUGGGUUUAAAGGGAGCGCAGGCGGAGAUGCAAGCGUGACGUCAAAUUUCGGGGCUCAACCCCGUCUCGCGUCGCGAACUGCGUCCCUUGGUUGCGGGAAGGGGAGGCGGAACUCGUGGUGUAGCGGUGAAAUGCAUAGAUAUCACGAAGAACUCCGAUCGCGAAGGCAGCCUUCUGGCCCGUCAACGACGCUCAUGCUCGAAGGUGCGGGUAUCAAACAGGAUUAGAUACCCUGGUAGUCCGCACAGUAAACGAUGGACACCCGCGGUUUGGCCUGUAUGGCUGAGCCGCCAAGCGAAAGCGUUAAGUGUCCCACCUGGGGAGUACGCCGGCAACGGUGAAACUCAAAGGAAUUGACUGGG